Molecule: unclassified non-coding RNA, 244 nt
Filed under: Glomus sp.
Lineage: Eukaryota; Fungi; Glomeromycota; Glomeromycetes; Glomerales; Glomeraceae
Description: partial contains 5.8S ribosomal RNA and internal transcribed spacer 2
Source: RNAcentral
GUGAAUCAUCAAAUUUUUGAACGCAAAUUGCACUCUCUUCGGUGCGUAUGACCGUUCGAGGGUCAGUAUAUAAAAAAUCGACCUCGUCGCUGUUUCGCGGUGGAGUUUGUUGGAAAUUGGGUGAUGUUUUAUCCUUUUGGUUUUUAAGCGACUUAAAAUUUUAUUUUUGGUUCCAUGAAUGUCAUUAAGAUUUAUUUUUUUAUACGCUUAAGGUAUCGAUUAUUAUUAGACGUGAUCAUUAUAA